AGAACGAACGCUGGCGGCAGGCUUAACACAUGCAAGUCGAGCGCCCCGCAAGGGGAGCGGCAGACGGGUGAGUAACGCGUGGGAACAUACCCUCCGGUUCGGAAUAGCUCAGGGAAACUUGGAUUAAUACCGGAUACGGCCUAGCGGCGAAAGAUUGAUCGCCGGAGGAUUGGCCCGCGUCUGAUUAGCUAGUUGGUGGGGUAAUGGCCCACCAAGGCGACGAUCAGUAGCUGGUCUGAGAGGAUGAUCAGCCACAUUGGGACUGAGACACGGCCCAAACUCCUACGGGAGGCAGCAGUGGGAAUAUGGACAAUGGGCGCAAGCCUGAUCCAGCCAUGCCGCGUGAGUGAUGACGGCCUUAGGGUUGUAAAGCUCUUUCGCUAGGGACGAUAAUGACGGUACCUAGACAAGAAGCCCCGGCUAACUUCGUGCCAGCAGCCGC
RNAcentral lists this ribosomal RNA (442 nucleotides) under uncultured bacterium. RNAcentral describes it as "SSU rRNA". It matches the Rfam family "Bacterial small subunit ribosomal RNA", at positions 26 to 518 of the family's 1533-position model. The record is from RNAcentral.